Molecule: non-coding RNA, 538 nt
Organism: Salvelinus sp. IW2-2015
Lineage: Eukaryota; Metazoa; Chordata; Actinopteri; Salmoniformes; Salmonidae
Source: RefSeq, a predicted model, not a curated record
AUUAUAUGUUAUGUGCAAUAUACUGUCAACUCCCCAAAACCAUAAAACUUACUUUAAUGGCCACCACGUGACCGUUUAUGGCCAGUGAGCCUAUCUGGCCGCGCUCUGGAUGAUUUUUACGAUCUAAUUCAUAGACAAAACCCCCAUUCAUUUGGCACCCAAAUGUCAGGGAGCCAGAACCGGCCUAAUAAAGUUUACGGCUCGAAAAGUCGAACGGAUUUCAUGAGAGUAGUGAGCUCGAGCACAGGGGACGCAGAGCCCCUAGAGCAGGUCACUGGCUAGGACCCGCUUUAGACCCACGUGCAGAGGGAGAGGACGGACAAGUGCUGCUGGCGCAAAGCGACCGGAUCCCCUGUUCUGACAGCUGGGUCCUGGACGAAUCCAAGCGCUCCCGGGAUCAGGCAACGACGCACUCAACCCGUCCAAUGUGCCAAACCGUCACGAGGACCCCGGGGUUUCUGACGCCACACCGGUGGACUGGGAAUCUCCGUACUCGGCGUCCUCGGCCUUGGACUGUCCGUCGGUUACCGGAUCACUG